This is a long non-coding RNA of Esox lucius (northern pike), 1639 nucleotides long. NCBI's taxonomy places the organism in Eukaryota, Metazoa, Chordata, Actinopteri, Esociformes, Esocidae. The record is from Ensembl.
GGUGUCGGAAUAUGGGCUUUGCCCUACCCCUAGGUGAGGGAACCGGCCCCCUACCCCUUGCUGUGUAGGUUUGGCUCCGUAAGUGGAGGAUUACCUGGGUUUAGUGUUCUCUCAGAGAUCCCAACAGGAACCUGACCUGAGGCAGAGCCCCAAGGGCCAGAGUCAGUCGAAGCAGAACAGAACAGCAGGAACUGAACAUUGUGCUGCUUAAUCCGAUGAGGUCUGUCCAACCAGGAGUGUUUAACGUCACUUCUAAGCUGAGACAUUUACAGUGAGUGGAGUCUGUAAGUCUGGAGUCAGGCACUGCAGUCAGUCAUGGAGGCAACACAUCUCGAUGAAAACCCUGUGCUGUCACUUGGCAGGGAAACAAAGCAAGUGUAUAGCUCUUACCACAAACAAACAGCCCGCCAAUAAUGGGAUGUAAAAAGGGCACAAAGAGUGUUUUUUGAGAAAAACACAUUCGUUAGCUCAUCUUAUGGUUUUAGUGCCAAAGAUGUUACAGCUCAGUAAUUAUACAUUUAAAUGCUGAUCUAAUCCCUCAAUAUUUUAUAGUUCGUCUUCUACUUCUGCCUGUAAGAUGAAUCCCAGGGACGCAUGCAGCAUCAUUCAGAAGCAUUUAAAGGCUUUUUGUUUUUCAUUUUGUUUAAACAAUCAAAUGUGAUUAGGUUUAGCCGAUGGGAAAAGAGCAUCGAUCUCCACCGCUUCUGUGUGGCCCUGAUGUGGAGGUAGUGAGGGAUGAUUGGUCACGCCACGCUGGAUCAACAAACAAUUCAUCAAGCCUGACGCGCGGUGGUAGCCAUUGUCAGGAGGCUGAGGGCCCUAGCCUGGUCGUAAAUCACCGUCCCCUGACCUGCCACCACUCUCACCUCCCUCUGCACCAGAGACCCACCCUCUCCAUCACGGUCGGCUUCGUGAACGGGGCACGGCUACAUGCCCAGUUUCCGUUCAUACUCGAGAAUCUCUGGUCGGAUUGAUGUUCGAAUUGGUGCCUUCAGGUUUGGUCCUCGGCUAGUCUGAGCCUGUUCUCACCAUCACUAGCUCGCAUGCAAACCGAAUGCUGUUCACAUUCUGCAGAAUCAAACCAGACAAUUCUUUUCUUAAGUAACUAGUCUAAAAAUAUCAAGUCCCAUUUCUUGGAGCUGACUGUUUGAUCACUGACUUGUAAAAAUGAGCUGUGGCAACGCUCCCAUUUUAGUUAGAUGUGAGAAGUGUUCCCCUCUACAUUGUCUAUCAUUGGUUCUUGUGUGGCAGAUAUGUUUGCUUUUUCAAGUACAACUCUUCACUGCUGUGCAGAAGAAGGAAAGUUCCAUCAAACAGUUCUGUUUCCCCCGUUACAUCGACACAGUCAACUCGCUAAGCAUUUAAAUGUAAAAUCUGUAGGCCUGAAGUAAAAUGGAAUGCUUAGAUUAGAUUCCAGUCCAUCAGUUUUCAGUUAGCCUAUUCAGUACUUCAUUUGUGUGUUCCUUUGUCAAAUUAUAUGGAUUCAGACCAUGAUGGAGCAUGUUUCUGCAUGUAUCAUAGUGUAAAUGUGCUGACAUAUUUAAGCUUGUUCCUAAAUCUCCACUGAAAACAUAGGCAUUAAAAGGGAUUCCACUUAAGCAUCUUCGUGUUAUUUCUCUGUUAAGGAGGUUUGAUCUUG